CGCGUAGGCGGUCGAGUAAGUGUGAAGUGAAAGCCCACGGCUCACCCGUGGAAUUGCUUUGCAUACUGUUCGACUAGAGGAAGGUAGGGGAGAGCAGAACUCUUGGAGGAGCGGUGAAAUGCGUAGAUAUCAAGAGGAAUACCAGUGGCGAAGGCGGCUCUCUGGUCCUUUUCUGACGCUGAGGUGCGAAAGCUAGGGUAGCGAACG
RNAcentral lists this ribosomal RNA (207 nucleotides) under uncultured bacterium. RNAcentral describes it as "partial 16S ribosomal RNA". It matches the Rfam family "Bacterial small subunit ribosomal RNA", at positions 568 to 774 of the family's 1533-position model. The record is from RNAcentral.